AUUGAACGCUGGCGGCAUGCCUUACACAUGCAAGUCGAACGGCAGCACGGGUGCUUGCACCUGGUGGCGAGUGGCGAACGGGUGAGUAAUACAUCGGAACGUACCUUAUCGUGGGGGAUAACGCAGCGAAAGCUGUGCUAAUACCGCAUACGCCCUGAGGGGGAAAGCGGGGGAUCGAAAGACCUCGCGCGACUAGAGCGGCCGAUGCCUGAUUAGCUUGUUGGUGGGGUAAAAGCCCACCAAGGCGACGAUCAGUAGCUGGUCUGAGAGGACGAUCAGCCACACUGGGACUGAGACACGGCCCAGACUCCUACGGGAGGCAGCAGUGGGGAAUUUUGGACAAUGGGGGCAACCCUGAUCCAGCAAUGCCGCGUGAGUGAAGAAGGCCUUCGGGUUGUAAAGCUCUUUUGUCAGGGAAGAAACACCGGCUCUAACACAGUCCGGGAAUGACGGUACCUGAAGAAUAAGCACCGGCUAACUACGUGCCAGCCGCCGCAGUAA
Molecule: ribosomal RNA, 501 nt
Filed under: uncultured bacterium
Lineage: Bacteria
Description: partial 16S ribosomal RNA
Rfam family: Bacterial small subunit ribosomal RNA
Source: RNAcentral